Long non-coding RNA from Ipomoea nil (Japanese morning glory), 313 nucleotides. RefSeq lists it as uncharacterized. The transcript has 3 exons. The record is from RefSeq and is a predicted model, not a curated record. NCBI's taxonomy places the organism in Eukaryota, Viridiplantae, Streptophyta, Magnoliopsida, Solanales, Convolvulaceae.
UGUUUGAUCAGGAUUUACCUACCAACUGAAGUUGAGGCCUGCCUCAUCAUCAAAGUUUGCACACCAUGAUCAAUCACCUCAAACAUAAUUCUCCACUGUCACACAACACUCAUGUGUUAACAAUGAACUUGUGAAAUUAGCUAAAUCCUAAACUACUGUUCAGUGAUGUGCUUAAACAGAUGCUGCCCUGCUACUGACUAAACAUCAUAAUGACCAUCUGCAACUACCAAAUUGUCGUCAAGAUCUUCAGGUUUUUCCAAGUGACUCAAGAAACAAAAUUGGUGGAAUCAACAUAUACCGUUUCCAGAAUCUU